This is a long non-coding RNA of Gallus gallus (chicken), 478 nucleotides long. RefSeq lists it as uncharacterized. NCBI's taxonomy places the organism in Eukaryota, Metazoa, Chordata, Aves, Galliformes, Phasianidae. The record is from RefSeq and is a predicted model, not a curated record. The transcript is spliced from 2 exons.
UUUAAGAUCUCCUGAGAUGACCCGUUUAAAUGCACGGUCUGCCAGCGGGAGGUAGGGCUGAACGACCAGGGGAAUUCUCAGAGACCUUCUAAAAUCUGCUUAAUGGGAGAGAGGAGGCAAAACUUUGGGGCUUUCUCCGUGUUCAACACGCACACGUCUUUUGGUUCCGUCAGUGCCCAAAGCCCUGACCGUCUGCAGAAAGCAGCUCCCUGCAAUCCUUACUGUCUUCUGAGGAAUGCCAACUAUUCGGUGGGGACCGAGCUCAGAAACACGGCUUUGCAGGAAGGUGGGAUUUCGGGAAGGAUUCACGGCUGUUAUUAUUGACGAAAUGGAGCUUUACGACUCCGCACCAAUUGAUGGCGACGAAUUUCGGCUAACGCAUCCUCCCAAGACCUGCUGACGGCUUUAGCGCUCGCCCUUUUCGUCCUUGCUACAGAAAAACGGACAUUCCCAGUUAAAAAAAAAAAAAAAAUCGCUA